This 361-nucleotide RNase P RNA is filed under the name Rickettsiales bacterium. RNAcentral describes it as "RNase P RNA component class A". It matches the Rfam family "Bacterial RNase P class A". Rfam says of the family: Ribonuclease P (RNase P) is a ubiquitous endoribonuclease, found in archaea, bacteria and eukarya as well as chloroplasts and mitochondria. Its best characterised activity is the generation of mature 5'-ends of tRNAs by cleaving the 5'-leader elements of precursor-tRNAs. Lineage: Bacteria; Pseudomonadati; Pseudomonadota; Alphaproteobacteria; Rickettsiales. The record is from RNAcentral.
UCAAGUGAUCGGAUGAUUGCAAGAGUAUAUGCUCUUGAGGAAAGUCUGGGCUCCACGGAAAAAAGAUGCCAGUUAACGACUGGUCGCCUUUUUAAAGGUGCAGGAAAGUGGAACAGAAAUAUACCGCCAUGUUUACAUGGUAAGGGUGAAAUGGUGUGUGUAAGAGACCACCGCUUUUUUAGUAAUAAAAAAGGCAACUCUAAACCCCAUCUGGAGCAAGACCAAAUAGGCAUAACACAUAAAGUUUUUCCGCUUUGUUGUGCGGGUCGGUCGCUAGAGCUUUGUUGUGAGACAAAGUCUUAGAUGAAUAAUCAUCCCUAUUCAAUUAGGACAGAACCCAGCUUACAGAUCACUUGGUACU